Molecule: ribosomal RNA, 2074 nt
Filed under: Ophiotaenia sp. PBI-678
Lineage: Eukaryota; Metazoa; Platyhelminthes; Cestoda; Proteocephalidea; Proteocephalidae
Description: SSU rRNA
Rfam family: Eukaryotic small subunit ribosomal RNA
Source: RNAcentral
GCGAAUGGCUCAUUAAAUCAGCUAUGGUUUAUUGGAUCAUACCCGUUAAAUGGAUAACUGUAAUAACUCUAGAGCUAAUACAUGCCACAAUGCCCUGACCCGUUCAACCGGGGAUGGGUGCACUUAUUAGAUCAGAAGCCAACCGUGCAUGGCCGCAAGGCUAUGCAUGUUGACCUUCUGGUGACUCUGGAUAAUUGUUACAGAUCGCAGUCGGCUUUGAGCCGGCGACGGGUCCUUCAAAUGUCUGCCCUAUCAACUUUCGAUGGUAGGUGACCUGCCUACCAUGGUGAUAACGGGUAACGGGGAAUCAGGGUUCGAUUCCGGAGAGGGAGCCUGAGAAACGGCUACCACUUCCAAGGGAGGCAGCAGGCGCGCAAAUUACCCACUCCCGGUACGGGGAGGUGGUGACGAAAAAUACCGAUGCGGGACUCUCAACGAGGCUCCGUAAUCGGAAUGAGUGAACUUUAAAUCCUUUCACGAGGAUCAAUUGGAGGGCAAGUCUGGUGCCAGCAGCCGCGGUAACUCCAGCUCCAAUAGCGUAUAUUAAAGUUGCUGCAGUUAAAAAGCUCGUAGUUGGAUCUCGGUACCACUGUUGCUCGUCAGUCCUUUGGCAGGUGGUUGUGCAGCACGCAUGGGUACGUAUUGUGCGGCCUGUGUUGCUGCUAUGGCUGCUCUGCCCGAGUUGGCGGUGUGACGGUGUCGCCUUUCAGCCAUGUCUGUGGUGAAAUACCCUCAGGUGUAGGCGAGUGUCGGAUGGUGCCCAGCAUUAGUUGGGUCCGUCGGCUCGUCUGCAUGCCUUUAGAUGCCCUUCAAAAGGUGUCUGUGGGCGGAUGGCACGUUUACUUUGAACAAAUUUGAGUGCUCAAACCAGGCCGAUGUUGCCUGAAAAGUUUUGCAUGGAAUAAUGGAAUAGGACUUCGGUUCUAUUUCGUUGGUUUUCGGAUCCGAAGUAAUGAUCAAAAGAGACAGGCGGGGACGUUUGUAUGGCUGCGCUAGAGGUGAAAUUCAUGGACCGUAGCCAGACAAACUAAAGCGAAAGCAUUCGUCAAGCAUGUUUUCAUUGGCCAUGAGCGAAAGUCAGAGGCUCGAAGACGAUCAGAUACCGUCCUAGUUCUGACCAUAAACGAUGCCAACUGACGAUCCGUGGUGGUAGUUCAUCAACCUUCCCCACGGGCAGUCCCCGGGAAACCUUUAAGUCUUUGGGUUCCGGGGGAAGUAUGGUUGCAAAGCUGAAACUUAAAGGAAUUGACGGAAGGGCACCACCAGGAGUGGAGCCUGCGGCUUAAUUUGACUCAACACGGGAAAACUCACCCGGCCCGGACACUAUGAGGAUUGACAGAUUGAAAGCUCUUUCUUGAUUUGGUGGUUGGUGGUGCAUGGCCGUUCUUAGUUGGUGGAGCGAUUUGUCUGGUUAAUUCCGAUAACGAACGAGACUCCUGCCUGCUAAUUAGUGCGCCUGUCAACUGUACUUGUGUAGGCGGUGUUCGGCGAGGCUGCCCUCGUAAGCUGCCUAGAGUUGUGCGGUGGCGUGGUGGGCUCUCUCUUGUGCCGUUGCUCCUCUCUCACGGGGGGCGCGCGCGCGUGUGGGGGCUUGCCUUGUCACACUGCCUCUCUUAAGUGGUGAGGACGGCUGGUUCGGCGCUAGCUUCCGGGUGCGGCGCGGGUGUUUACUUCUUAGAGGGACAAGCGGGAGAAGCCGCACGAAAUGGAGCAAUAACAGGUCUGUGAUGCCCUUAGAUGUCCGGGGCCGCACGCGCGCUACAAUGACGGUGGCAAUGAGUCUGACCUUCUGGCCCGAAAGGGUUGGGCAAACUGGUCAAUCACCGUCAUGACAGGGAUCGGGGCUUGGAAUUGUUCCCCGUGAACGAGGAAUUCCUAGUAAGUGCAAGUCAUAAGCUUGCGCUGAUUACGUCCCUGCCCUUUGUACACACCGCCCGUCGCUACUACCGAUUGAAUGGUUUAGUAAGGUCCUUGGAUUGGCGCCAUUGUGGCGGUUGCCGAAAGGUGGCUUCCCGACAGGCGCUGAGAAGACGACCAAACUUGAUCAUUUAGAGGAAGUAAAAGUCGUAACAAG